This 538-nucleotide ribosomal RNA is filed under the name uncultured bacterium. RNAcentral describes it as "bacterial SSU rRNA". It matches the Rfam family "Bacterial small subunit ribosomal RNA", at positions 791 to 1339 of the family's 1533-position model. The record is from RNAcentral.
UAGUCCACGCCGUAAACGAUGAUUACUCGGUGCUAGCAAUAUACCGUUAGUGCCUAAGCGAAAGCGAUAAGUAAUCCACCUGGGGAGUACGGUCGCAAGAUUGAAACUCAAAGGAAUUGACGGGGGCCCGCACAAGCGGUGGAGCAUGUGGUUUAAUUCGAUGAUACGCGAGGAACCUUACCUGGGCUUAAAUGUAGAUUGACAGAUUGGGAAACCAGUCCUCCUUCGGGCAGUCUACAAGGUGCUGCAUGGUUGUCGUUAGCUCGUGCUGUGAGGUGUCGGGUUAAGUCCCAUAACGAGCGCAACCCCUAUCCUUAGUUGCCAGCGAGUAAUGUCGGGGACUCUAGGGAAACUGCCGGUGCAAACCGUGAGGAAGGUGGGGAUGACGUCAAAUCAUCACGGCCCUUACGUCCAGGGCUACACACGUGCUACAAUAGUUUUUCAAAAAGAAGCAAAAAUGUAAGUUUUAGCAAAUCUUCAAAAAAUUGAGUUCGGAUUGUUUUCUGAAAUUCGAAAACAUUAAGUUGGAAUUGCUAGU